AGUGAACGCUGGCGGUAGGCCUAACACAUGCAAGUCGAACGGCAGCACAGUAAGAGCUUGCUCUUACGGGUGGCGAGUGGCGGACGGGUGAGGAAUACAUCGGAAUCUACUUUUUCGUGGGGGAUAACGUAGGGAAACUUACGCUAAUACCGCAUACGACCUACGGGUGAAAGCAGGGGAUCUUCGGACCUUGCGCGAUUGAAUGAGCCGAUGUCGGAUUAGCUAGUUGGCGGGGUAAAGGCCCACCAAGGCGACGAUCCGUAGCUGGUCUGAGAGGAUGAUCCGGCACACUGGAACCGGGAAACGGUCCAGACUCCUACGGGAGGCAGCAGUGGGGAAUAUUGGACAAUGGGCGCAAGCCUGAUCCAGUCAUACCGCGUGGGUGAAGAAGGCCUUCGGGUUGUAAAGCCCUUUUGUUGGGAAAGAAAAGCAGCAGGUUAAUACCCCGCUGUUCUGACGGUACCCAAAGAAUAAGCAACGGCUAACUUCGUG
Molecule: ribosomal RNA, 492 nt
Filed under: uncultured bacterium
Lineage: Bacteria
Description: partial 16S ribosomal RNA
Rfam family: Bacterial small subunit ribosomal RNA
Source: RNAcentral